GCCAAACAGCUAGCUCAACCACCUAAUAACUAAACAAUGUAUAUAAAACAAAAUAAGCCUAACACCAAAAAUUAAACCAUUCUUUUACCUUAGUAUGGGAGACAGAAAAGGUCACACCUGGAGCAAUAGAGAUAGUACCGCAAGGGAAAGCUGAAAGAGAAAUGAAAUAACUUAUAUAAGCACAAAAAAGCAAAGAUUAAAUCUUGUACCUUUCGCAUCAUGAUUUAGCCAGUAUACCCAAGCAAAGAGACCUUUAGUUUGAAACCCCGAAACCAGAUGAGCUACCCCGAGACAGCCUAUUAAGGGCCAACCCGUCUCUGUGGCAAAAGAGUGGGAAGAGCUCCGGGUAGAGGUGAUAAAUCUACCGAACCUGGUGAUAGCUGGUUGCCUAAGAAGUGAAUAGAAGUUCAGCCUCGUACUCCCCUGAUCAAAGAAUAUAGAGAAGAUGCUAAAGGGCAAUACACGAGAGUUAGUUGAAGGGGGUACAGCCCCUUUAACAAAGGACACAACCUUCCCAGGAGGAUAAAGAUCAUAAUACAUAAAACAUCCUGUUCUAGUGGGCCUAAAAGCAGCCACCUAAACAGAAAGCGUUAAAGCUCAGACAGAAGCGAGUUUAUUAUUCCGACAAAAAAUCUUACUCCCCUUAAUACUAUUAGGCCAGCCCAUGCUCACAUGGGAGAGACUAUGCUAAAAUGAGUAACAAGAAGGCCUGCCCUUCUCCAAGCACAGCUGUAAGCCAAAUCGGACCAACCAUUGGCAAUUAACGAACUCAACCCAAGAGAGCAAUGUGGAUUGCAACAAAACCAAGAAGAACCCACAUAAGUCCAUCGUUACCCCCACACUGGCGUGCUAUUAAAGGAAAGACUAAAAGAAGGGGAAGGAACUCGGCAAACACAAGCCUCGCCUGUUUACCAAAAACAUCGCCUCCUGCAACGAAACCAAGUAUAGGAGGUCCAGCCUGCCCAGUGACGAUAAGUUUAACGGCCGCGGUAUUUUGACCGUGCAAAGGUAGCGUAAUCACUUGUCUCUUAAAUGGAGACCUGUAUGAAUGGCCAAACGAGGGCUUAACUGUCUCCCCCUUCCAGUCAGUGAAAUUGAUCUAUCCGUGCAGAAGCGGG
This 1118-nucleotide ribosomal RNA is filed under the name Gymnodiptychus dybowskii. Its description in RNAcentral is "partial 16S ribosomal RNA". It matches the Rfam family "Bacterial large subunit ribosomal RNA", at positions 157 to 2065 of the family's 2925-position model. Lineage: Eukaryota; Metazoa; Chordata; Actinopteri; Cypriniformes; Cyprinidae. The record is from RNAcentral.